UCCCUGGUGGUCCAAUGGCUAAGACUCUGCCUUCCCAAUGCAGGCGGCUGGGGUUCAAUCCCUGAUCAGGGAA
Molecule: transfer RNA, 73 nt
Organism: Ovis aries (sheep)
Lineage: Eukaryota; Metazoa; Chordata; Mammalia; Artiodactyla; Bovidae
Rfam family: tRNA
About the family: Transfer RNA (tRNA) molecules are approximately 80 nucleotides in length. Their secondary structure includes four short double-helical elements and three loops (D, anti-codon, and T loops).
Source: Rfam